Molecule: ribosomal RNA, 481 nt
Filed under: uncultured bacterium
Lineage: Bacteria
Description: bacterial SSU rRNA
Rfam family: Bacterial small subunit ribosomal RNA
Source: RNAcentral
UACGUGCCAGCAGCCGCGGUAAUACGUAGGUGGCAAGCGUUGUCCGGAAUUAUUGGGCGUAAAGCGCGCGCAGGCGGAUUGGUCAGUCUGUCAUAAAAGUUCGGGGCUUAACCCCGUGAUGGGAUGGAAACUGCCAAUCUAGAGUAUCGGAGAGGAAAGUGGAAUUCCUAGUGUAGCGGUGAAAUGCGUAGAUAUUAGGAAGAACACCAGUGGCGAAGGCGACUUUCUGGACGAAAACUGACGCUGAGGCGCGAAAGCCAGGGGAGCGAACGGGAUUAGAUACCCCGGUAGUCCUGGCCGUAAACGAUGGGUGCUAGGUGUAGGAGGUAUCGACCCCUUCUGUGCCGGAGUUAACGCAAUAAGUACCCCGCCUGGGGAGUACGACCGCAAGGUUGAAACUCAAAGGAAUUGACGGGGGCCCGCACAAGCGGUGGAGUAUGUGGUUUAAUUCGACGCAACGCGAAGAACCUUACCAGGUCUU